AGAGUUUGAUCCUGGCUCAGGGUGAACGCUGGCGGCGCGCUUAAUGCAUGCAAGUCGAGCGUGAUCGGGGCUUCCGCCACCAUGAUAAAGCGGCAAACGGGUGAGUAACACGUGAGUAAUCUGCCCUCCGGUGGGGGAUAACCUCGGGAAACUGGGGAUAAUCCCGCAUACAACCUGCGUCCCGUGGGGUGCAGAUGAAAGGCUUCCUCCUCCGGAGGAGGAGCUCGCGACCUAUCAGGUUGUUGGUGGGGUAAUGGCCUACCAACCCGAUGACGGGCUAUGGUCUGAGAGGAUGACCAGACAGAGGGGGACGAUUGGGACCCCACUCCUACCGGACUCCUACCAGGGAAUCUUGGGCAAUGUAUUGAAAGCCUGACCCAACGACUGAGCGUGCGGGACGAAGUGCUUCAGGUUGUAAACCCCUUUUCCGAGGGAAGAGAAAGGUCGCUACAUAGGGAAUAAGCCCUGGCUAAGUACGUGCCAGCACGCGCGGUAAUAGGUAGGGAGCGAGCGUUACAAGGAAUCAGUGUAAAUAAAGUGUGCGUAGCCGGUUGGAUAAGUCUCUUGUGAAAGCUCCCGGCUCAACUGGGAGCGGUCAAGGGAUAUUAUUUGGGGAGGGGACGAGAGAGGUAAACAGAAUUCCCGGUGUAGCGGUGGAAUGCGUAGAUAUAAGGAGGAACACCAGUGGCGAAAGCGGCUUACUGGGCUGUAUCUGACGCUGAGGCGCGAGAGCGUGGGGAGCAAACUGGAUUAGAUACCCAGGUAGUCCACUCCCUAAACGAUGGAUACUAGGUAUGGGGGGUAUUGACCCCCUCCGUGCCGUAGCUAACGCGUUAAGUAUCCCGCCUGGGGACUACGGCCGCAAGGCUGAAACUCAAAGGAAUUGACGGGGGCCCGCACAAGCGGUGGAGCAUGUGGUUUAAUUCGACGCAACGCGAAGAACCUUACCUGGGUUUGACAUGUUUUAGACGGACGAAAAAACCGUAUUCUCUUCGGAGCCGUUGCACAGGUGCUGCAUGGCUGUCGUCAGCUCGUG
This 1036-nucleotide ribosomal RNA is filed under the name uncultured bacterium. Its description in RNAcentral is "bacterial SSU rRNA". It matches the Rfam family "Bacterial small subunit ribosomal RNA", at positions 8 to 1064 of the family's 1533-position model. The record is from RNAcentral.